CCUACGGGAGGCUGCAGUGAGGAAUAUUGGUCAAUGGACGAGAGUCUGAACCAGCCAAGUAGCGUGAAGGAUGACUGCCCUAUGGGUUGUAAACUUCUUUUAUAAAGGAAUAAAACGAGGCACGUGUGCCUUUUUGCAUGUACUUUAUGAAUAAGGAUCGGCUAACUCCGUGCCAGCAGCCGCGGUAAUACGGAGGAUCCGAGCGUUAUCCGGAUUUAUUGGGGUUAAAGGGAGCGUAGAUGGUUUGUUAAGUCAGUUGUGAAAGUGUUCGGCUCAACCGUAAAAUUGCAUUUGAUACUGGCAGUCUUGAGUACAUUUGAGGUUGGCGGAAUUCGUGGUGUAGCGGUGAAAUGCUUAGAUAUCUCGAGGAACCUCGAUUGCGAAGGCAUCUUACUAAACUGUGCCUGACAUUGAUGCUCGAAAGUGUGGGUAUCAAACAGGAUUAGAUACCCCUGUAGUC
Molecule: ribosomal RNA, 460 nt
Filed under: uncultured bacterium
Lineage: Bacteria
Description: partial 16S ribosomal RNA
Rfam family: Bacterial small subunit ribosomal RNA
Source: RNAcentral